GUGCGUAACAGCUCACUAGUCGAGGAAUUUGGCGUGGAUAAUAAUCGGGUAUCAAGUUGUCUGCCGAAGCUAUGGAAUCAUUAAUGAUUGGUAGGGGAGCAUUCCAUUCAGCGUUGAAGGCGUGGCGCGAGCCACUCUGGAGCGUAUGGAAAAGCAAAUGUAGGUAUAAGUAACGAUAAAGGGGGUGGGAAACCCCCUCGCCGAAAGACUAAGGUUUCC
RNAcentral lists this ribosomal RNA (219 nucleotides) under Bacteroides caecigallinarum. RNAcentral's name for it is "partial 23S ribosomal RNA". It matches the Rfam family "Bacterial large subunit ribosomal RNA", at positions 1130 to 1355 of the family's 2925-position model. The record is from RNAcentral. Lineage: Bacteria; Pseudomonadati; Bacteroidota; Bacteroidia; Bacteroidales; Bacteroidaceae.